This 1746-nucleotide unclassified non-coding RNA is filed under the name Hevea brasiliensis (rubber tree). Lineage: Eukaryota; Viridiplantae; Streptophyta; Magnoliopsida; Malpighiales; Euphorbiaceae. The record is from RNAcentral.
AAAAAAUGGAAGGAAAAACUAUUUCCCUUUCCUUCCUUUUACUUUCUCUCUUAGCCAUUUCUGUCUCUUCCACUUCUCUUCAAUACCAUACAUUACUUUUACAUUCCCUUCCACUAACUCAACUUCAAAAAUCUCUACAUUUCGAUGCUCAACUACUUUCCGGCGAUGGCUCCGACCUCGAUCCGGAUAAUGCUCUCUCUCUACAGUUGCAUCAUGUAGACUUAGUAUCUCCUUCGUCCUUCAAUGCUACACCACAUGCGCUGUUUAAGCUCCGUCUACAACGUGACGCCUAUAGAGCUAAGGCAAUUUCUGACCUCGCCUCUGCUAACGCCACCGUUGGACGCCGUGCGGGUAAGCCUCAUCCUGGUGGUAGGGAUUUCUCUAGUUCUGUUGUUUCUGGACUGUCUCAGGGGAGUGGAGAGUAUUUCACGCGAAUCGGUGUUGGUACUCCUUCUAAGUAUGUUUAUAUGGUGUUGGAUACGGGAAGUGACGUCGUUUGGAUCCAGUGUUCGCCUUGUAAAAAGUGCUACACUCAAUCCGACCCGGUUUUUGACCCGAGUAAAUCGUCUUCCUUCCUUGGUGUUGCAUGUGGGUCGCCUUUGUGUCGUAGGUUGGAUUCUGGUAGCUGUAACCGAAAGAAAUGUCUUUAUCAGGUUUCUUACGGAGACGGUUCUUUCACCGUCGGCGAUUUUUCAACUGAAACGUUAACUUUCAGGGGGACACGCGUGAACAACGUGGCCCUUGGAUGCGGCCACGAUAACGAAGGUUUAUUCGUCGGAGCCGCUGGUUUACUGGGUCUCGGCCGGGGUAGACUAUCAUUUCCGACUCAAGCUGGUCGGAGAUUCGGCAGAAAAUUCUCCUACUGCCUUGUCGACCGGUCCGCUUCCUCUAAACCAUCCUAUCUAGUCUUCGGCGAAUCUGCAGUUUCUCGAACCGCUGUGUUUACCCCACUCGUCAAAAACCCAAAACUAGACACGUUUUACUACGUGGAGCUCACCGGAUUCAGCGUCGGCGGCGCUAGGGUUCCUGCAAUCAGGCCGUCGCUGUUCAAGCUAGACGCCGCUGGUGAUGGUGGUGUGAUAGUAGAUUCAGGAACUUCAGUGACCCGAUUGACCCGACCCGCUUACGUAGCUCUGAGGGACGCUUUCCGAAUGGGUGCUAAAGAUCUGAAAAGAGCACCCGAUUUCUCAUUGUUCGAUACAUGUUUCGAUCUAUCAGGGAAAACGGAAGUGAAGGUUCCGACAGUGGUUAUGCAUUUCCGUGGAGCUGACGUGUCAUUGCCGGCGUCAAAUUACUUGAUUCCGGUGGACAGUGAUGGGACAUUCUGCUUUGCAUUUGCCGGUACAAUGAGUGGAUUGUCGAUUAUCGGAAACAUUCAGCAGCAAGGUUUCAGGGUAGUGUUCGAUCUUGCUGGGAAUCGCCUAGGCUUUGCUCCUCGUGGGUGCGCUUAAAUUAACGAGAGAUUAUUAUAAAAUUGCUUCCAAAUUCCCCAGUUUAUUAUAUGUUUGAUGAUUUUUCUUUGGUUUGGGGUGUAUUAGGAGAAGAUAAAGGAACAUGAUUAGAUGUUGUGUGUUUGUAUUAUGUGUUGUAAUACAGGGUUAAGAGUAUGUAGUGAUAAUUAGUGUAGAUUUGUAACUCAAAACACUCUGUUUUCUGUAAGAUGGGGCGAGGUUGAUAGUAGCUGCAAAAUGUGCGGCGCUGCUUAAACUUGCUAUUGAUUUAUAUAUUUUUCUUUUUAUGUUUUCA